UGCAAGUCGAACGGCAGCACAGGAGAGCUUGCUCUCUGGGUGGCGAGUGGCGUACGGGUGAUGAAUACAUCGGAAUCUACUCUGUCGUGGGGGAUAACGUAGGGAAACUUACGCUAAUACCGCAUACUACCUACGGGUGAAAGCAGGGGACCUUCGGGCCUUGCGCGAUUGAAUGAGCCGAUGUCGGAUUAGCUAGUUGGCGGGGUAAAGGCCCACCACGGCGACGAUCCGUAGCUGGUCUGAGAGGAUGAUCAGCCACACUGAAACUGAGACACGGUCCAUACUCCUACGGGAGGCAGCAAUGUGGAAUAUUGGACAAUGGGCGCGAGCCUGAUCCACCCAUACCGCGUGGAUGAAGAACGCCUUCGGGUUGUAAAGCCCUUUUGUUGGGAAAGAAAUCCAUCUGGCUAAUACCCGGGUGGGAUGACGGUACCCAAAGAAUAAGCACCGGCUAACUUCGUGCCAGCAGCCGCGGUAAUACGAAGGGUGCAAGCGUUACUCGGAAUUACUGGGCGUAAAGCGUGCGUAGGUGGUCGUUUAAUUCCAUUGUGAAAGCCCUGGGCUCAACCUGGGAACUGCAGUGGAUACUGGGCGACUAGAUUGUGGUAGAGGGAAUCGGAAUUCCUGGUGUAGCAGUGAAAUGCGUAGAGAUCAGGAGGAACAUCCAUGGCGAAGGCAGCUACCUGGACCAACACUGACACUGAGGCACGAAAGCGUGGGGAGCAAACAGGAUUAGAUACCCUGGUAGUCCACGCCCUAAACGAUGCGAACUGGAUGUUGGGUGCAAUUUGGCACGCAGUAUCGAAGCUAACGCGUUAAGUUCGCCGCCUGGGGAGUAC
Molecule: ribosomal RNA, 839 nt
Filed under: Stenotrophomonas maltophilia
Lineage: Bacteria; Pseudomonadati; Pseudomonadota; Gammaproteobacteria; Lysobacterales; Lysobacteraceae
Description: bacterial SSU rRNA
Rfam family: Bacterial small subunit ribosomal RNA
Source: RNAcentral